CAAAAUUCGUUGAUGAGAACAAAAUCGUAGCCAUGAUUAUUUGCAGAGAGUCUGUGGCUGGUGCGAACAGACAAUAAUCGGAUAUUGAUUAUCCUCUCUAAGAAGCGGGCUGAAAGCAGUUAGUUGCAAGUAAACUUCGCCGGUCUCCUCCGUUAUGGGAUAGCAUAUGUUGGUAUGUGAAGUGUCACAGAGAUUUUCUGUGGAAUUAGGGUGGUAUCGCGGAUUUUAUUCGUCCCUUUC
Molecule: non-coding RNA, 240 nt
Filed under: Roseburia sp.
Lineage: Bacteria; Bacillati; Bacillota; Clostridia; Lachnospirales; Lachnospiraceae
Description: T-box sequence
Rfam family: T-box leader
About the family: Uncharged tRNA acts as the effector for transcription antitermination of genes in the T-box leader family. T-boxes are found upstream of many aminoacyl-tRNA synthetase genes and some amino acid biosynthetic genes usually in Gram-positive bacteria. The anticodon of a specific tRNA base pairs to a specifier sequence within the T-box motif, and the NCCA acceptor tail of the tRNA base pairs to a conserved bulge in the T-box antiterminator hairpin.
Source: RNAcentral